RNAcentral lists this long non-coding RNA (1639 nucleotides) under Daphnia pulex (common water flea). RNAcentral's name for it is "uncharacterized LOC124203615, transcript variant X2". Lineage: Eukaryota; Metazoa; Arthropoda; Branchiopoda; Diplostraca; Daphniidae. The record is from RNAcentral.
GCUGCUUGUCCCUGAGAGAUUUUUAAAAUUCUUAUUUUAAAAAGCCGAAGGCUUACCGCCUUUUAAGGGUGAGAGAUUUCAAGAAACAAAAGUUCCGACAGCGCUCCAAAUAGUGUUAACUGUGAGAGGUCCCUGGGGAAUUGGGGCGAUUCGUGAUUGGUGGAAGGGGUUUUCGGGACUGUGACGCGUUCGUGCUGCUCUGAUCGCGACGCGACUAAUCUUAUUCGAUGUAGAAUGACUUUUUACAUAGGUCAUGACUAAAUUUUUUAAGUAUUAACGAAAAUAACGAGAGAUUGGGAGCAAAAAGGGGAAAAAAAGGGGAAACUUCUAAAAUAGAGGAAAAAAAUGUCUUCUAAAAUUAGAGGAUGCAACCACCGCUAAACAAAAGAAGAACUUUCCGUUUAACCGAAAAGACUAAAUUUGCAUUACGUUAUUUGUGGUUCGCGAGAUAUUUGACCAAGAAAAAGACACCCAGAUUGACUUUGAGUUGAUUGUUUGUUGACUAGCAGACGACGAUAACUUUUAUCGGUGUGGCGUGUGGGUACUGGCUACUGGGGCGGCUGGGUAUUCAUUGGAAUUCAUCGAUCUAAUGAUUCUAAUAAGAAAAAAAAACCAUGCCUCCAGUGUCACAACUGAUGAUUCCUUUACCCAUCAAAUGCCAGAUUGGCAGAUAGUUCAAUAUGUGGGUGCUGAAUGAACUGGUAAACAUAAAAAAUGGAAUUGACAAUAGAUUACAUUUAUCAUCAGACAUUGCUCCCUUUCAGAAAAUUAUGUCUUGAAGAUGACGACAAGUUGCCAGUUGAUUUACAUGUCACCCAUAAUGAUAUCCUAGCACACCAUACUUUAUUCGGCAUGCAAAAAAAACUUUCCCUUCUAGCUUUCCCUCAUUUAAAGGCCUUGAUGUUAUGGUUAGCGAAAUUUUAUCAACAAAGAUAAAUUAAAGCUGCAGCUUUGGAAAAUGGAAUUGACAAUUAACUUUACAAUAGACAUACUACAGUUUCAGAACAGUUGGGCCCGCAUGAAGAUGACAAGUUGCCAGUCGAUUGACAUGUCACCCUAAGUUAUACCACAGCAAUGGAAUUGAUAUUUCAGAAAAAAAUUUCUUGAAAGUUGCCAGUCGAUUUACAUGACACCCUAAGUGAUAUCAUAGCAAGAGCUUGUCAUUUAGAUAGUUUGUUACCAUUCUUGAUUCAACAUUCAAAAGAAGCUUUCCCUCAUUUAGAAUGCCUUGAUGAUUUGAAAAAAAAAAAAAACUGAUAAUCUUCGACUUCCUGCAAAUUGGUACCCUUAAGCAAGAGCCUUGAAAAGGAAAAUUGUAUCUCAUUCUGGACCAACUAUUAUAGUGGAAAACAUAUCAUGUUCUUGAAAGGUUGUUUAAUUCAAAUCAGGAGUUUAUAGUAGUCCCUCAAUUUUUUAAUUCAAAAUCAGGAGUUUAUUAUGGUCCCUUAAAACUUUUAACAACUGAUGGGUAUUGCAAAAGGAAAUGAGUGUGGUGUCCCAUAUGAUUAGUAACUGGAGAAGAAAGAAAGUUUUCUAAUGCUACUGAUAUAUCCCCUUUUUCCCAUGUAUCCUGCACUGUUGAAACUCUUCUCCUGUUAAGUGCCAUCAUACAUAAAUAAUAAAAACGACUCUUGUGUUA